AAAAAAAAUCCACAUGUACUCUGAAACUACAAGUCCAAUCGACCCCAAAAUUUGCAGUCAGCAGGGCAUACAUGUACUAAAGGUUCAUAAAACAACGUGGUGCAGAUAUCUCUCAAGACUUUUCCUAGAGAAAAAAAAAAUGGCAAUGCCGUAAAAAUUGCGUGCUAGGUCCGUAAAUCUCAGUGACAUCCUACAAUAAAAUGUCCGCUCCUAGAUUAAAAUACUAAUCUGUGUUACAAACAGGUGCUGAAAAAUGUACAUUAUCAGAAAAUAAUCCUUAAAUGUGUAUUCAAGUUACACCGGGUCAAUUAAAUCCAAAACAUGCACUGCUGGUGAACUGUGAUCAAAAUGUCAAUUUCCUACAAUGACAAAAGAAAUUACAUUGUGUUCAUUCUGUCUCUAUACAUGUUGUCUGUUCAACGUCCCCACCUAAAGUUUUCGUUAUUAUAAACCCAAGUCACGUGAUGUCUCCUCAAUCUGGCGCGCGCGCUGGACCUGAAAUAAAAUAAAAAC
This 513-nucleotide long non-coding RNA is filed under the name Mytilus galloprovincialis (Mediterranean mussel). Lineage: Eukaryota; Metazoa; Mollusca; Bivalvia; Mytilida; Mytilidae. The record is from RNAcentral.